CUGAUGUUCUUGCCCAGACUGUAAAACUGAAGCAACUUUUAUUUUAGACAGAUCUUUAUUGUUAUUGUGCUCAGAGUACAAUUGAAAUCUGUUUAUAGCAGAUCUUCAGCAGUGUGCAUAAAUGUUAGAUAAACAGAGGAUGAGAACAAAUGUAACUGUGAAUCCAGAAACAUGAUUGGAUAAUGUAGCAGGACUCAGGACACACCACAAAAUCACCCCGACACCACAGCUCUCUUUGGAUCUUUGUUUUACUGAGUGAGUCUGUAAUGACACAAUAUGUGACAGGGACUGCAUCAGUUCCACAAACCCUCUUCUCAGACUACUGUGAGGGAUACAUAUGUGGGAAACCAGCUGAUUUGUGCAUGUAUUCAUGUGACCUGUUGCCAAUCAGGAAGUGACUAAAAAGCUCACCAGGAUCAGUCAUUAGUCCCUUACCUCUCACUGAGCGCAUUGCGCUGUGUGGAUUCUCCUGUUGUGCAGGGUGGUAGCCAGGCGCAAGUUCCCAUCCUUCACAGAGUGAACUGGAGCAAAUUGAAGCUUGAUCCUGUACAAGGCUGGGUCCGUGUCAACACACUGCCUCCUCGUGGUGAGACUGCACUGGGUGACACUCUGUUGCGGUGUGUAUGUAGCCUCGACACUGUAGAUUUUGUAGUGACUUGCAUGAUAUUUUGUAGUGAAUCUUGCAUGAUAUUUUGUAGUGAAUCUUGCAUGAUAUUUUGUAGUGACUUGCAUGAUAUUUUGUAGUGAAUCUUGCAUGAUAUUUUGUAGUGAAUUGUGUAGAAAUAAGUGUGUAGUGAAUGUCCUUGUUGGUGCUGGGCCUUCUGUCUCCUCUUUCUGUCUCCCACAGUCGUCUCCCGGAGUGGUGUGCGCGUGCUGACCCAACCUUCCUACUUUGAGGAGAGUAAGACCACAUGUAUCUGCCAUCUAAUUUAUUAUUUUAUUAAUAU
Perca fluviatilis (European perch) is the source of this 947-nucleotide long non-coding RNA. RefSeq lists it as uncharacterized. The transcript has 3 exons. Lineage: Eukaryota; Metazoa; Chordata; Actinopteri; Perciformes; Percidae. The record is from RefSeq and is a predicted model, not a curated record.